This 60-nucleotide ribosomal RNA is filed under the name Xylaria sp. R8. RNAcentral describes it as "partial 28S ribosomal RNA". The record is from RNAcentral. Lineage: Eukaryota; Fungi; Ascomycota; Sordariomycetes; Xylariales; Xylariaceae.
UUGACCUCGGAUCAUGUAGGAAUACCCGCUGAACUUAAGCAUAUCAAUAAGCCGGAGGAA